This 513-nucleotide ribosomal RNA is filed under the name uncultured Planctomycetota bacterium. Its description in RNAcentral is "bacterial SSU rRNA". It matches the Rfam family "Bacterial small subunit ribosomal RNA", at positions 384 to 896 of the family's 1533-position model. Lineage: Bacteria; Pseudomonadati; Planctomycetota. The record is from RNAcentral.
UGACCGAGCGACGCCGCGUGCGGGAUGAAGGCCCUCGGGUGUAAACCGCUGUCGUAGGGGAGGAAGGCUCCGUGAAGAGCGGGGUUUGACCUAUCCUAGGAGGAAGUACGGGCUAAGUUCGUGCCAGCAGCCGCGGUAAUACGAACCGUACAAACGUUAUUCGGAAUCACUGGGCUUAAAGGGUGCGUAGGCGGCCACGUAAGUGAGAUGUGAAAUCCCUCGGCUCAACCGAGGAAGUGCAUUUCAUACUGCAUGGCUUGAGGGAGACAGGGGUAAGCGGAACUGAUGGUGGAGCGGUGAAAUGCGUUGAUAUCAUCAGGAACACCGGUGGCGAAAGCGGCUUACUGGGUCUCUUCUGACGCUGAGGUACGAAAGCUAGGGUAGCGAACGGGAUUAGAUACCCCGGUAGUCCUAGCUGUAAACGAUGAGCACUUGUCUGGGGAUCCUCCCAUAGGUUCCCGGACGAAGCGAAAGUGUUAAGUGCUCCGCCUGGGGAGUAUGGUCACAAGGCUG